ACCUUUCAGCAGUGGAAUGUCUAGGCUCGCAACAUCGAUGAGAACGCUUGCGAACCUGCGAUACGUCAUUGCGAAAUUGCCAGAUUCAGUGAGUCAUCCGCACAUGCUGGACCGCAUAUUGCACUUCCGGGUUAGCCCUGGAAGUAUGCCUGUAUCAGUGUCC
Molecule: ribosomal RNA, 163 nt
Organism: Phytophthora infestans T30-4
Lineage: Eukaryota; Oomycota; Peronosporomycetes; Peronosporales; Peronosporaceae
Rfam family: 5.8S ribosomal RNA
About the family: 5.8S ribosomal RNA (5.8S rRNA) is a component of the large subunit of the eukaryotic ribosome. It is transcribed by RNA polymerase I as part of the 45S precursor that also contains 18S and 28S rRNA. Functionally, it is thought that 5.8S rRNA may be involved in ribosome translocation.
Source: Rfam